GUGCUCACUUCAACAGCACAUAUACCAAAAUUGGGAUGAUGCUAAAAAGAUCACCAUGGCCCCUGCGCAAAGAUGGCACACAAAUUCUUGAAGCGUCCUUAUUUUGU
This is a small nuclear RNA of Hippopotamus amphibius kiboko, 107 nucleotides long. Lineage: Eukaryota; Metazoa; Chordata; Mammalia; Artiodactyla; Hippopotamidae. The record is from RefSeq and is a predicted model, not a curated record.